Non-coding RNA from Leptonychotes weddellii (Weddell seal), 1560 nucleotides. NCBI's taxonomy places the organism in Eukaryota, Metazoa, Chordata, Mammalia, Carnivora, Phocidae. The record is from RefSeq and is a predicted model, not a curated record.
UGAAUAGAAACAUCUGAGUAAAUAGUCUUGGCUCUUGGCCGAAAUAUUUUGUCUGGUGUGUGAGACACAUGUGUGAAUUCCACCCAUGUGACUAGGCCUUCCAAAGCUCCUCAUCCACCCCCACCCCCAAAGCCCCCUGAGCACAUUGAGAAGUGGCUGCUCAGCCUGAAUACCCAAGGACUAGACUCUCAACUGCAGAACCUACCCCAAAUCUGGCCACCCAGUGAGACCCAGCCUGUGAGAGCUAGAUAGUCUUGUUUUAUUGCGUCCAUGGAACUGGUGCAGGCAUGAUGCUCAAGAAUUCCUUUAUUUCUCAUCAUAAGGCACAUCUUAAGAGUAUUUACACACCAUAGCACUUAGGAAUUGAGCUCAUGGACUCAGGCUUUUAUCAUGCUUGAUUUGCAUUCAAAUAUGUUAGUGUUUGGUCUCAACAGCAUGUUAGGUCCUGGAGAGAGCUGCAAGAAAAUGUGGCUUUUUCUGGGGUUGUUCUCCAGAAGAAAUGGGUCAGCUCUAGACAUGAAAGUGGAAGCAAACUUUCUAUUCAGUAGAAAAUAUGAUUAAACAAAUUUUUUCAAAUAUUUAUCAUGACUGGUCUCAACAGAGUUGAAUUUUAAUCUGUGAAAAUUAAAGAGAUUUUUCUCUUCAAAUUAUUCAACUCUAGCCAGUAGUCACUUUGAGACAUUUUCAAACAUAUUCGCCUUUUCUUCAUGCUUUCAAUGGGUUUUAAAAAUUGAGUGUUUUGAUUCCUCCUUCCUUAAUCCCUGAGUUUAUCUGGACUCUCUGAUCUUCCUAGCUGUUUUGCAUGGAUGAUUUUCAUAUCAAAUUGUCCCCACCUUGUUACCUAAAAGUGACAGCUGAUGGCCUUUGACAUCGCUUUUGUUGUCCUGGAUUUGACUGAUAACUGUUCUUCCUCCGGCCGUUUAAACACUUAUGCCCCCUCUGGGAAGAUUCCAGGUCUGUUAGAGCUUGAAGGGAUUUUUAGAGAAUAAACCUAAGUAUCCAACCUCAUUUUACAGAAGAGGAAACAGAACCACAGGAGCUAAGUGAGUUGUCAAAGACCCCAUUAUUAGUCAAUAGCAAAGCUGGAACCUAUGCUGGGCUUCCUGAUUCUCCAGAUCGGCUUCUCUUCACAUUAUGCUAACUCAUUGUUCUUUGUGUUGAUCGUAGGAAAUGACUGAUCCUGUCAUCACAGAUGCCCCCUCCUCCAUUUUGGUGAUACCAACUAAAAGAAUUCCUCCAAGAGUGCGAUAAAACGUCAUCGGACCUUAGGGUGCAGGAAAACCCAUUCUUUAACUCACCCCUUAGAUGCUCCCAAGGCUAUCGCCACAAUGCUUGCGAGGCCUCCUAUCACACCAGGUCACUGUGUGAAUUUGAUCCAGUUUUCUACAUUCUCCUACCCCAAGAGGGAACGUUUGGAGUGCCAAACCUGAGGCAUAGCUCCUAUUAUACUUACUAAGGUUAGCAAGAAUUAGCUGACUGUCACAGUCACACUUCAUUCCUUGUCAAACCAUCUGCCUGAGGACGCCUGGGUGGCUCAGCGGGCUAAGCGUCUGCCUUAGG